RNAcentral lists this ribosomal RNA (391 nucleotides) under Bacillus subtilis. RNAcentral describes it as "bacterial SSU rRNA". It matches the Rfam family "Bacterial small subunit ribosomal RNA", at positions 657 to 1046 of the family's 1533-position model. The record is from RNAcentral. Lineage: Bacteria; Bacillati; Bacillota; Bacilli; Caryophanales; Bacillaceae.
GAGAGUGGAAUUCCACGUGUAGCGGUGAAAUGCGUAGAGAUGUGGAGGAACACCAGUGGCGAAGGCGACUCUCUGGUCUGUAACUGACGCUGAGGAGCGAAAGCGUGGGGAGCGAACAGGAUUAGAUACCCUGGUAGUCCACGCCGUAAACGAUGAGUGCUAAGUGUUAGGGGGUUUCCGCCCCUUAGUGCUGCAGCUAACGCAUUAAGCACUCCGCCUGGGGAGUACGGUCGCAAGACUGAAACUCAAAGGAAUUGACGGGGGCCCGCACAAGCGGUGGAGCAUGUGGUUUAAUUCGAAGCAACGCGAAGAACCUUACCAGGUCUUGACAUCCUCUGACAAUCCUAGAGAUAGGACGUCUCCUUCGGGGGCAGAGUGACAGGUGGUGCAU